UCUAGUUAGAAACUCAUCGGACACUGUGAAUAGAUACAGAGUCCCUCGCCAAGUAUGCGGCCCGGGGUGCCGAUCACCACGCGAUCUUCUGCAGUUAAUAAACCGCUGACUCCGGCCUGACAAUAACCGAACUGUUCGUUGGGUCUGAAAAAAAUCGAGAAAGUUUCCCGGAACACGGUUUUUUCAAAUCGUCGUAUUUCAAAUCUUGGGAUAAUAUGUAGCAUUGACCCUGACCCCAUUGCGAGUCGGCUGUUCACGAUAUGACGAUGCGCGCAUACCGGAAGUAUGAUGUGACGAAUUAUAAAUAAUCUGUACAUGUAUAUGUAUCAUCUCUCUGAGAGGCAAUAUUCUUGUGUCUGUUGACUCACCAUAACUUUACCUCCCACUCCCUGACUGCGUACUAGUCACUCCUAACCAUUGAUUAUCUUUUAUCUCAUCAUUUCCUGGUGGUAUUAAAUCAUCGGAUUCCAAAUCUGGAAAAAAUACAGUUUUGACAGGGCUGGAGUUUGAGAGAUGAGUUCAAAUGCACCUGUUUUCAAGAGAAUUAAAUUACGAAUUUUAUAUCAACCAUUCAUUAUAACUUGCAGCAUUAUUUAUAACAUAUGUGACAAAUAAAAGUCUAUUAUUAUGA
Molecule: long non-coding RNA, 631 nt
Organism: Nylanderia fulva
Lineage: Eukaryota; Metazoa; Arthropoda; Insecta; Hymenoptera; Formicidae
Source: RefSeq, a predicted model, not a curated record